Molecule: long non-coding RNA, 400 nt
Organism: Mytilus trossulus (common blue mussel)
Lineage: Eukaryota; Metazoa; Mollusca; Bivalvia; Mytilida; Mytilidae
Exons: 4
Source: RefSeq, a predicted model, not a curated record
UUUUAGAUGCUUUAAUAGUGGCAUUGAACCAUCUGAAGGAAGCCACAGAAAACCGGUCUGAGAUUAUAAAAAGAAGAAUUAUUUUACUCUCUGACCUUGGAGGCCAUUGCAAGGAAGAACAGACAAAUGCUGUGAUUAAGAAAGUAAAGGAUUUGUGUGCAGAGUUGAAUUUUAUUGGACCAUUUGACACAAACAAACAUGGAAGAUCAACAGUGUUGGGUGAAGAAUAUAAAUUAUUACCAAGACAACAAGCAGGAGGAUAUAUCAUAAGUAAUAUUCUUCUCAAUGUAGGAGGCACCUAUGUUAGCUUCAAAGAAGCAUUGUCAAAAGAAGGUACAUUCCAAUUCAAUGUUGCUGACAAAACCAUUGUUGCUGACAAAAAACUUGUUGCUGACAAAAC